AUAUUUGAAAAAUGUAUCAUUAGAAAGCUGAGAAUUUUUUCUUCAAAAUACAGUUGAGAGUUCGAAACUAACGAAACUGGCUCUUUUGCCGGUCAUGACCUUUGUACUCUUCCGUUACUAACGACGCCACAAAAGUAAACGUUACGUCAAACGUCAACAAUUUACAGAUAAAAAAUGGAACGUCAAUAAUUAAUGGACUUGAGUGGCUGGAAUGAGGAAUUUUAACAUGAUUUGAUCAACAAAAAGAUAAAAGCAGGAAUACAGUCAAUCACAAAUGUACAAUAUGCCCUACUUUUCACAUUGGUGCAGGAAAUGGAGUGUCCUAUAUAUGCAACCCUUGAAGAUGUUUUUCGUUAUGCCAUGCCUGCUGUUAC
Mytilus trossulus (common blue mussel) is the source of this 374-nucleotide long non-coding RNA. RefSeq lists it as uncharacterized. The record is from RefSeq and is a predicted model, not a curated record. The transcript is spliced from 2 exons. NCBI's taxonomy places the organism in Eukaryota, Metazoa, Mollusca, Bivalvia, Mytilida, Mytilidae.